RNAcentral lists this ribosomal RNA (948 nucleotides) under Triticum aestivum (bread wheat). RNAcentral's name for it is "partial small subunit ribosomal RNA". The record is from RNAcentral. Lineage: Eukaryota; Viridiplantae; Streptophyta; Magnoliopsida; Poales; Poaceae.
AUGUCGUUUCGGGAUGCUCAUGAGUUAUGGACAAAGCUUCAAGAUAAAUAUGGUGUGUCCAAGGUUUGUGGGGAUGAUUGUUCUCCCUCCUCCUCCGGCCGUGUUGCCUUCUCAACUUCUUCUACUUCACCUACAUGUGGAUUGCCACAAGGUAAUGCUAUGGUGAGUAGUGGUGGUCAUUGCAAUGAUGAUAGUGUGUUUGUUCUUAGUGAUUCUUCAUCACUGUCUUAUUGCAAUGGUCCUUCUUUGGACUUUAACACUUCGAGCACCUUACAUGUUUCACAUGCUCGUGUUGGUAGUCCUUGCAUAUCAUGUAGAAAUUGCUUGCUCAAAUCUCAUGAUGAUAUGCUUGCUAUGUCUUGUUGCUAUGAUAAAAAUGUAUCUAUUUCCUCGAGUUGUUGUGCUAACAAUGUAGAGGAAACUCAACACUCCAUGGAACAAGAUGUGGUCUUGAAUGGUGCUUCAAGGGAUCCUACAUCAUCAUCUAUUGCGUUUUUCCUUAUGGCCAAGGCCUCAAAGGUAUCUCCCACUUUGAAUCCCAAUAUAUCUUGUGAUGAUAUUGAUGAUGGCAAGAAUGAUGAUGAUGUUGAUUAUGAUGAAGGAAAUGAUAAUGUUGCCUCAUUAAAAAUUAAGGGGGAAAUGGUUUUUAAAGCUCUUCAUCAAAAUAAAAUUGCUCAUUCCAACUUCAUGGAAAUUAUGUCCAUUACCAUUGAGGGCAAGAAAUAUAUUGAGGAGUUGGAAUCUCAUCUCGAGGAGCAUGAGGUCACCAUUGAGAAAAUGGAAGGUCAUGAGCGUGAUUACGCUAAUGAGAUUGUGGACCUCUCUCAAGCUCUUGAACUUGAACAAACCACCAAGGAAUCUCUUGAGGAGACUUUUGCUCUAGAAUUAUCUAGAGUACGGGAAUCUCGUGAUAGAGCUCUUGAGGUGGCCAAUGAUUUUGAAACUUAA